RNAcentral lists this ribosomal RNA (167 nucleotides) under uncultured Saccharomyces. RNAcentral's name for it is "partial 26S ribosomal RNA". It matches the Rfam family "Eukaryotic large subunit ribosomal RNA", at positions 92 to 259 of the family's 3401-position model. Lineage: Eukaryota; Fungi; Ascomycota; Saccharomycetes; Saccharomycetales; Saccharomycetaceae. The record is from RNAcentral.
AGUGAGCGGCAAAAGCUCAAUUUGAAUCUGGUACCUUCGGUGCCCGAGUUGUAAUUUGGAGAGGGCAACUUUGGGGCCGUUCCUUGUCUAUGUUCCUUGGAACAGGACGUCAUAGAGGGUGAGAAUCCCGUGUGGCGAGGAGUGCGGUUCUUUGUAAAGUGCCUUCG